GAAGUUGAUAUUACUAACUUUUGUGAAUAUCUUGAUUGAAGGACACUUGCAUUUAAAGAUGACAAGAGUUGAACAAAUUAAGGAUAUGGUAGAGGAACGGUCCGAAGUAUGACGAUAGGAGCAUGCUCACUAAGGACUAAAUCGCGUAACGACUGCGAACAAGGUUAAUGGCAAGAAACGCCCGUCGGGGCAAGCAUUACCAGUUUGACUCUGACAAGCUAGGUAGGAGCUUGGAAAUGAACGGGUCAAAUGGAUACAAGUUCAAGUAUGAAGCUCGCAAGGAUGCAAGGAGUAGAUAUCCAAUGGAUACUCGCAUCGCUCUUAAUUAGCAAUUAUAAAGCAAGGUAUUAAACCGGGUUAGUAAGUUGAUCCGAGCCAGAUAUGUAUAAUAGAUUAACUCAUCAUGUAGAACUUGAAGUUCUAUGAAAGUUAGGCAAAAUAAAAAAAAGGGCAUUCGGUUACCUUAAUAGGUAAACCUAAGGAUUUAAAUUAUAGACAGAAUGUUUUGAAAACAAGAAUUGGUUAAAAAUGAGAAAUUAGAAUCAAACAACAGGUUUGUUUGAUAAAAUCACGAACGGGUCAAAUUUGGUAAAAAGGGGUAAUAAGCCGAAGACUUAAAAGUCUUAGAUUUUGUUAAUCCAGAUGUUGGGUCUUGACUCCAUUUAAUGGAGGUUCAAUUUACAAUCACGUAGGAAGAAACGGUAGGUCAAACGGACAAGCGGAUUAAAGGUUAUGAAGGUUUCCGUUUUAGAAAUCGGCAAACUUGGAAAAUCUUGCAGAGGCCACCGUAAGUUACGGUAGCUACCGUAACUUACGGUAGCCUUAAAAAUCUUUACGCCUUAAACCCACUGAGUUACGGUGGAAGAAUCAACAUUCAGGGGCUACCGUAAAUUAUGGUAGCCACCGUAAUUUACGGUAGACUCUGUAACAAAAUUUAUUUUAAUCAGUUUCGUUUCCCAGAACUCGUUAGACACGUUUAUAACCCCCGUAAGACUAAAGCAUUUCUUGUUUAUGAA
Long non-coding RNA from Helianthus annuus (common sunflower), 1016 nucleotides. RefSeq lists it as uncharacterized. The transcript has 3 exons. Lineage: Eukaryota; Viridiplantae; Streptophyta; Magnoliopsida; Asterales; Asteraceae. The record is from RefSeq and is a predicted model, not a curated record.